Long non-coding RNA from Zingiber officinale, 194 nucleotides. RefSeq lists it as uncharacterized. The transcript is spliced from 3 exons. NCBI's taxonomy places the organism in Eukaryota, Viridiplantae, Streptophyta, Magnoliopsida, Zingiberales, Zingiberaceae. The record is from RefSeq and is a predicted model, not a curated record.
GGUAAUCCAGAAGGGGUGCAGUAUUAUAAUAACUUGAUCAAUGAACUCAAGAAAUAUUGAAUUGAACCUCAUGUCACUCUUCUUCACUUUGACCUCCCCCAAUCUUUGGAAGAUGAAUAUUCUGGACUCUUGAGCCCAAAGAUUGUAGAGGACUUCACUGCUUAUGCUGAUGUGUGCUUUAGAGAGUUUGGGGA